UACGUAGGGUGCGAGCGUUGUCCGGAAUUACUGGGCGUAAAGAGCUCGUAGGUGGCUUGUCGCGUUGUUCGUGAAAACUCACAACUCAAUUGUGGGCGUGCGGGCGAUACGGGCAGACUGGAGUACUGCAGGGGAGACUGGAAUUCCUGGUGUAGCGGUGGAAUGCGCAGAUAUCAGGAGGAACACCGGUGGCGAAGGCGGGUCUCUGGGCAGUAACUGACGCUGAGGAGCGAAAGCGUGGGGAGCGAACAGG
Molecule: ribosomal RNA, 253 nt
Filed under: uncultured bacterium
Lineage: Bacteria
Description: partial 16S ribosomal RNA
Rfam family: Bacterial small subunit ribosomal RNA
Source: RNAcentral